ACGGGUGAGGAAUACAUCGGAAUCUACCUUUUCGUGGGGGAUAACGUAGGGAAACUUACGCUAAUACCGCAUACGACCUUCGGGUGAAAGCAGGGGACCUUCGGGCCUUGCGCGGAUAGAUGAGCCGAUGUCGGAUUAGCUAGUUGGCGGGGUAAAGGCCCACCAAGGCGACGAUCCGUAGCUGGUCUGAGAGGAUGAUCAGCCACACUGGAACUGAGACACGGUCCAGACUCCUACGGGAGGCAGCAGUGGGGAAUAUUGGACAAUGGGCGCAAGCCUGAUCCAGCCAUACCGCGUGGGUGAAGAAGGCCUUCGGGUUGUAAAGCCCUUUUGUUGGGAAAGAAAAGCAAUCGAUUAAUACCCGGUUGUUCUGACGGUACCCAAAGAAUAAGCACCGGCUAACUUCGUGCCAGCAGCCGCGGUAAUACGAAGGGUGCAAGCGUUACUCGGAAUUACUGGGCGUAAAGCGUGCGUAGGUGGUUGUUUAAGUCUGUUGUGAAAGCCCUGGGCUCAACCUGGGAAUUGCAGUGGAUACUGGGCAACUAGAGUGUGGUAGAGGGUAGUGGAAUUCCCGGUGUA
RNAcentral lists this ribosomal RNA (579 nucleotides) under Stenotrophomonas sp. HRRP068. RNAcentral describes it as "bacterial SSU rRNA". It matches the Rfam family "Bacterial small subunit ribosomal RNA", at positions 102 to 677 of the family's 1533-position model. Lineage: Bacteria; Pseudomonadati; Pseudomonadota; Gammaproteobacteria; Lysobacterales; Lysobacteraceae. The record is from RNAcentral.